AACGCGAAGAACCUUACCAGGUCUUGACAUACCAUUGACCGGUCCAGAGAUGGAUCUUUCCCUUCGGGGACAAUGGAUACAGGUGGUGCAUGGUUGUCGUCAGCUCGUGUCGUGAGAUGUUGGGUUAAGUCCCGCAACGAGCGCAACCCCUAUCGUUAGUUGCCAGCAGUAAGAUGGGGACUCUAACGAGACUGCCAGUGACAAACUGGAGGAAGGUGGGGAUGACGUCAAAUCAUCAUGCCCCUUAUGACCUGGGCUACACACGUGCUACAAUGGUUGAUACAAAGAGAAGCGAGACGGUGACGUGGAGCAAACCUCAUAAAGUCAAUCUCAGUUCGGAUUGUAGGCUGCAACUCGCCUACAUGAAGUUGGAAUCGCUAGUAAUCGCGAAUCAGAAUGUCGCGGUGAAUACGUUCCCGGGUCUUGUACACACCG
RNAcentral lists this ribosomal RNA (435 nucleotides) under uncultured bacterium. RNAcentral describes it as "bacterial SSU rRNA". It matches the Rfam family "Bacterial small subunit ribosomal RNA", at positions 958 to 1392 of the family's 1533-position model. The record is from RNAcentral.